GUUUAUCAUCACAUUCUCCGAAGAUCAUUUCCCAACUACAUAGAAGACUCACAUCAGUCAAGAAAUCUCACUAAGAAAAUGAAGUUCCUCUUUCCCACCUUGGCAUUAGCUUGUAUGGUGCUUGGCGCAUGUGCACAGGAAACAACGCUUGACCCAGGGACAACCUCUGAACCAGAGACAACCCUUGCCCCAGAGACCACUACAACCACGAGGGCCCCCAUCCCCGGAUUUGUCCCAGCACCAGCCCCUUCAUGGGGUGGAAAUUUUCAAUCUCCCUGGUUGGGAUAUGGUCGCUAAUACGGAUACCAUCUAAAUAUAUAUUAAAAUUCCGAACUUUCUGAAAAUCUAAAUUUAUAAAUUUCUUUUCUUUACCUGUUUAUUUCUAUGAAGUCAAUACAACUAUCUUUGCAUCUGUAGCACAAGCAUA
This is a long non-coding RNA of Folsomia candida, 427 nucleotides long. RefSeq lists it as uncharacterized. The record is from RefSeq and is a predicted model, not a curated record. The transcript has 2 exons. Lineage: Eukaryota; Metazoa; Arthropoda; Collembola; Entomobryomorpha; Isotomidae.